GCGGCGAACUGGCCUCACGAGCUUCUUCCCCGUAUCAAGCUGUCGAACCUUUCGCUUUCCACUGCCGCUUUCGUCGGAGCCAGCCGCCGUCAAGGGGAGAGAUUCUGAUCACUCUCCUCUGAACGGGGUUUUCGCCGGCGGAGGAUGAUAUGAGAUGGGACGAGAAUAGGGCCGACAGGUGAUACUGCCCACCGGAGCUAGGAGUAAUCCCAGUAUCGUCGACAGGUUUUAUCUGGGCCCGAGAGACGGAAACUGAGCCCAAGGCAGAGGAGCAGAGGGCACUGUCGUCGUAGAUGAAUUUUCGGUUAUCAAUGCCUGCCUAAUCAAGUGUUUUUUUUUGUUGUCUUCUUCAGCUGCCAGAUCACUGGCUGUUCGAUCACCACGGAUGCCACCUCAGCUGGAGGAUAGAAGACGCAGAGGGCCCCCCACACCAUUUAUUUCUCAGGGCCUCCGUAUCUUCGUCGGCUAGGGGAAACGAGUCCGUAAAAUCUCGGAGGGUGGAGCUGCCGUGACUACGUGAAUGCAAGCAAC
This 531-nucleotide long non-coding RNA is filed under the name Spirodela polyrhiza (greater duckweed). RNAcentral describes it as "long non-coding RNA (SPOL_LNC001820)". The record is from RNAcentral. Lineage: Eukaryota; Viridiplantae; Streptophyta; Magnoliopsida; Alismatales; Araceae.